CACAAGCCACCCCGGUUCGGCAGCGUGUGUGUGGCACAGCAGUGCCCAGCGUGCGCCCGGGGCAGGUGUGGUGAGGUGGCUCGGGGGCUGCCAGACCCCUCGGCCGUGCACCUGCCGGUUGCUUCCCUGCUUUCCGCCGUGGCUGCAGAGCACUCCCUCCCAGCGCUGAGGAGCAGGAUGGGGCAGGAAGGCGCUGCCUGUGCCUCGGCCCGCUGAGGCAGGUUCCUGUGGGUCUGCAGGUGUGUUUGCUGCGGGUGAGGGUUUUGUUAGGGGGGAAGCUGGAGUCUAUCAGGGUGAGAUCUGAAACCGUGGUCCUGAUGCCAUGAGCUGUGCUGGUAACCGUUCUUUCCAGGAGCCAAGGUCACCAGGGUGCUGCCGGCAGCGCUGGUUCUCGGGCCGGCUUCCUGCCUGCCACAGUUGUGCAACGCAGCUGAUUAGGAGGCUCUGUUCCAGCCCAGCCGUGACUGUGCUGGGUGGUGGGGAGUUUACUGUGUGUGAUAAGGCGCGAGUGCCCAGCCCUGCUGGAGCGUGGCCUGGCACAGGCGUGUUGGAUGCUCCCCAGUGUGGGGAACGAUUCUGCCAGCAGCCUCUCGCUGCUUCCAGAGCCGCCUGCAACACCUCCUGCGUUCAGCAUCAGAAACAGCCCCGCGCCGUGGGGGCUGCAGGGCCCAGCCUCUUCCCAGCCCCCACUGCUGCCCCGGUCAUGGGAGUAUCACAACCUGUAGCCAUCCCAGAGCCUUUGAGCUCUGUUGGCUUUGCACAGGACAGUUGGCUGAGGCCUCAGUGCGGUGGGUGCCUGGUGGGGAGGCUCUGGCUGGUGGAAUUGUGCUGACGCCAGUGUCUGCCCCACAGUCUGCAGCCCCUCUCCCACCGUCUGCCUGAGCAGAGAGCAAAUCCUGGGGUGAGCAGCUGGCGGCACAGAUGUGGGCUCCCCCCGCUCCUGCCAGGGCACGGGGCCACGCUCCCACCCCCUUCCCAGCAUCUCCCCCCAGGCACAACGCUGAGGCCAAACCCAGCCCUGGAGCGGGCCUGACCCCUGGAGCGGGCCUGACCGAACACAGUGGUGCUGGGCAACGUCUCUGGACGGGAGCUCGUUGCUGUCGUGGGAUCCAUCCCAGCUGCUCCUGCCCUCGAGCUGCAGCACCAGCGAGCAGCGGAGGGGAGCACAAUCCCAACCCAGCACCCGGUCCUGAGCUGGGCCCAGCCCCAGCGUGAGGGGCAUUGGGCAGCACUGGUAAUCCUGCUGCGCCCCAGGGAUUACUACGCACUCUGGCCUGGGGAUUAAGGGAUUUCUCUUAAGUGGGGCUCGUGCAGCCUCUUGUAAAGCAGCUUGUGCCUAGGGGACUCGCUGCCUGGGCAGGAGGGCAGUUACAGAGGCAUCUUUGCACCAGGGAGCCAAGGCUAGGGAGGAUGCUGCCAGGGGAGCUGUGGGUGAUGCACCAGCCCUGUCCUUGGCGUGGUGCAGGGGUGAGCCUGGGUGAGUGUCCCAGCCUGGCUGGAGGAGAGGCUUCUCUGUAGAGCUCUGGGACUCCUCUGUUGAAGACACAGAGUCAGUGCAGGGAUGGUGUGGGGCUCAGAGAGCAGAUCCAGGAGCUGUCUGAGCUUGGGCAGCACUGUGCUGAGAAGAGGCCACUAGCUGUUUCCCCUCCUGAGAUGCUUGGGAGCAGAGAAUGACAAUCCACGUUGCUGAUACUGAGCAAUCAGGUGUCAGGGACACAGCAGGGCCUGUGUGUCCCUGAGCGGCUUUUCCAUCCUGUCUGUGCACUGGGGGGGGUUGGACGUUUCUGCUGGGGGUGGAGCUGCUCUCCAAAGCCCCACUUUGAGACAGGCUUUGGAGGAGCGAGGCCUCAGAGUGUUUGUAAACACCUUCCCUGGCCCAGGUAGGGUGUGAGGGUCAGGGUGUCUGGGUCAUUCAGCAGGGGAGAUGCUGUGCCUGGCCCUUGCUGUGUGGGGUUUCUCCAGGGGUCAGUCCAGGCCCCAGAGAGGUUCUUGCCACGCCAUGGGCCCAGCUCAGCACCCUCGUCCCUCUGACUCCUCUCACCUGCCCUUGUGGCUCCCAGUGCUGUGGCAACCACUGCUUCAGGCCCUGGGAAAGGGGAAGUGGUGCCGAAACCAGAAGGUCAGUCACGUCAGCAGUGGAUGCCUGUCUGCCCUCACAGCCUUGGAGCUGCCCUUCUCCUCUACCUUUCCUCCCAUCUGCAAUCAGACUUCUCCUAGGAGCCAGGGUCCCCUCCUGCCCAUGGGGAUGGCUUCCUCCCCGCUGCCUGCCCAGCUCAGUGUGCCCAGAGCUGCGGGGGCAAGCGUGCAGACCCCGCUGGCUCCUGGCAGCCGAGCUGCCUGCGGGACGCUGCCUCCUGCCCCAACAGGCUCUGGGGUUUGUUACUCAGGGCCGUGCCCUGCGUCAGGGAUCGCUCCUGGUUUGAGGGAAAGAGCUGUUGAUCCGGUUUGGGUUUGCUUAAUGCCUGUGGGGCUGAGGGGAUGCGGGUGCAGUGGGACUGGAAGGUGGGAGGGCUGUGCCUUCCUCCCCCUCCUCAGCUGCCCCCGAGGUCGGGAUCCAGGGCAGGACCCUCCCCUCGUGCUGCAGGAGCUGCAGCUCGUUGCUGGGGCUCAGCCGCCAGCCUGCGGCAGGGCCUGUCCGUGCACGGCUCCGGGACAGGCUGAGCCUGUUGGGGCUGUGCUGGGCGCGGGGGCCACGGCAGCACCCCCAGCUCCCCACGCCCCGCCGGAGCCGCCUCGUCUCCUGGUGCACCUUCCUUUAUGCAGCGCCGGUUGCUACGCGACCGCCGGCUCCCGAUGCUUAAUGCUCUAAUACGGAGGGAUAAAACCGCUCUAAAAAUACCGGGUGCCGGCCCCCCGCGGGGGCAGCGGGGCUGCCGGGGGCAGGCGGCCCGGGGCCGGGGGGGCUGCCCGGCACUUCCCGAACUCCCCGUCCUCCGACUGGUUUGGAGCCGCCGGCCGGAGCCGGGGUGCGGAGCGGCGGUGGUGCAGGCGGGGAUUGGCUGCGGCUGGUGCGUGGGCUCCUGCGGCUGGAGCUCCCCUGCCAGAGCCACCGUCCCCGGCUCCGCGGCCUGCACGCUGCCCGGCCGCCCGGCACAGCCCACGGCGUCCUGCGCGGCACCUCGCGGCAUGGGGACGGUCAGCGAGCUCUGCGCCUCCAGCUUCCAGGCCUUCCUGUGCCCCUCGGUGGCUGCCAAGGCAGUGCCCAGUGACCUGACCCCGGAGGAGUGCCAGGAGCUGGAGAACAUCCGCCGUCGCAAGCAGGAGCUGCUGGCUGACAUACAGCGUCUGAAAGAUGAGAUAGCAGAAGUGACGAAUGAGAUCGAGAACCUGGGGUCCACGGAGGAGAGGAAGAACAUGCAGAGGAACAAGCAGGUGGCCAUGGGCAGGAAGAAGUUCAACAUGGAUCCCAAGAAGGGCAUCCAGUUCCUGAUUGAAAACGACCUGCUGAAGAACACGUGUGAGGAUAUCGCUCAGUUCCUGUACAAGGGAGAGGGCCUCAACAAGACAGCCAUCGGUGACUACCUGGGCGAGAGGGAUGAGUUCAACAUCCAAGUCCUGCAUGCCUUCGUGGAGCUGCACGAGUUCACCGACCUCAACCUCGUGCAGGCGCUGCGGCAGUUCCUGUGGAGCUUCCGCCUGCCCGGGGAGGCGCAGAAGAUCGACCGGAUGAUGGAGGCCUUUGCGCAGCGGUACUGCCAGUGCAACCCCGGCGUCUUCCAGUCCACAGACACGUGCUACGUGCUCUCCUUCGCCAUCAUCAUGCUGAACACCAGCCUGCACAACCCCAACGUCAAGGACAAGCCCACGGCAGAGCGCUUCAUCGCCAUGAACCGCGGCAUCAACGACGGCGGGGACCUGCCCGAGGAGCUGCUGCGGAAUCUCUAUGAAAGCAUCAAGAACGAACCCUUCAAAAUCCCCGAGGACGACGGCAAUGACCUCACCCACACCUUCUUCAACCCCGACCGCGAGGGCUGGCUCCUGAAGCUCGCCCCGGAGCUGGUGCCGGCGUCCAGCGUUUCGAGCGCAGAGACCAUGAGGCCCUUGUCGGCAGUGGGUGCUGCCGGAGCAGGCGCCGGGAGCGUGUGGCGAGCUGCCCCAGGCUGCGUGCGUGCCCCCCUCCAUGCCACGGGCCAGCCCCUGCCUCACCUCCCCACGGCAUCAUCGCCUCGGCAUCGCGGCUCACGUGCAGGCAGCGUGCAUGGCAUCCCCCGCCCCGCGCCCUGGCUCCUGUGGCUUCUCUCGGCAGCUCUGGGGAACCCUCUGCCUGGGUUAAGUGAGGGGGGACAGGGUGCUGCAGGACCAGGGUCUGGCGAGGGCCUUUCCCCGGGGUGUGUUUGUGCCGUGUUGCCACCCUCUCGGGAUGGGAUAGGAGCCUUUACCCCUGCACCGUGCCCUGCCCUGGGACUGAAGGGUUGUCUGUGCCUCAGCUCUGGAGUGGGGAGCACGGGGAUAGCUCCAGAGCUGCCUCUCCGGUCCCUGAGCAGCCCAGUGGCCGCUGGCACGGGACAUCAGCACCCAGGGCUGCGUGUGGCUGCUGGGAGGAGAGGCAGCAGAGUGGCUGUGGGCACAGCUCACCCCUGGGGCAGGGAGGGACCCACGGCAGGGCCAUGGGGCAGGGGCCAGCCCCCACCGCCCCCAGCCCAGCAGAUCCGUCCCACAGAGCCACAGCGAGCCAGGGCAGGUCGGCCGCCGCGGCGGUGCCACCGGCCCAGCCCAGCCCCUCACGGCUUCGCCGCUGCCCCUGCCCACUGCCCCGCGGGGUGAGGGGGGAUCUCUGGGGGUUCCUCUUUUUAUUUUUUUUCCCUUUUUUGUAAUUUUCUUUUCUCCCUCAUUUGUAUGUUUCCAUGAUUUUGGCUCUUCCUUUCCUUGCCCCCAACUCCAGGAGGAGGCCGCGUGAAGACGUGGAAGCGCCGCUGGUUCAUCCUGACCGACAACUGCCUUUACUACUUCGAGUACACGACGG
This is an RNA transcript of Colius striatus (speckled mousebird), 4963 nucleotides long. It is a transcript of the gene named cytohesin 1, with no coding region annotated. Lineage: Eukaryota; Metazoa; Chordata; Aves; Coliiformes; Coliidae. The transcript has 11 exons. The record is from RefSeq and is a predicted model, not a curated record.